This is a long non-coding RNA of Gorilla gorilla gorilla (western lowland gorilla), 6061 nucleotides long. RefSeq lists it as uncharacterized. The record is from RefSeq and is a predicted model, not a curated record. The transcript has 3 exons. Lineage: Eukaryota; Metazoa; Chordata; Mammalia; Primates; Hominidae.
GUGCCCAUUUCCCCAUAGCUUCACCAACAAGCCUUACCAACAGAAUGUAUUCUCAUAUUUGUUUUAUUUUUGCCAAUUCAAUAAAUGAGAAGGGGAUUUCCUUAAUUAUCAGUGAGUUUAAGCAUUUUCUGCAUGUUUAAAAGCCAUUUUGAAACUUUUCCUUUUUUUUUUCAAAUGAAUUAUUUGUUUAUGCCUUUUCCUCAUUUUCAUCUCAGGAUUUUGUCCUUCAAUUUUUAAGGUUUCUUAAUGUAUAAGGAAUAUUAGCCCUUUUUCUCUAGUGUAUGUUACAAAUAUUUUCUCUCAAUAUGUUAGUUGUGCUUUGAUUUUGUUUAUGGUGGUUUUUGUCACACAAAAAAAUGCAGUCAAAUUUAUUAAUCUUUUAAAAAAUUGCCCCUGGAUUUUAAAUCAUAGUUAGAAAGGCUUUUCCUUACCAAGGCUAAAUAAUAAUGUAGCCAUUUAUUUUCUAUACUAUGUGGUUUUAGUUUUUAUAUUUACAUCACUAAUCCACUUGGAGUUUAUACUGCUAUAUGGUAUGUUUUACCCUAGUGAUUUGAGAUGCCACUUUCAUCAUAUACUAAAUUUCCAUAUGUAUUUUGGUCUAAUUCUGGACUAUUCUCUUCCACUGGCUUCUUUAUUUCUCUGUGCUCCAGUACCACUCUGUUUUAAUUAUCCAGGCUUUAUCAAAUGUUUUAAUUUCUGGUAAGCCUAAUCACUACAGCUUUUCUUUUUCAGUGUUUUUCUACCUCAUUCCUACCCAUCUUUUUUUUAUAUGAACUUUAGUAUCAAAAUCUCUAACUCCAGAAAAUAGCCUGUUCAUAUUUUGAUGGAAUUGUAUUACAUUCAUAAAUUAACUUAGGGGGAAGUGGUAUUUUCAUAAAGCUAUAAUUCUAUCCAAGAACCUGGGAAUGUCUUUCCUUUUAUUCAAGUUUUUAUUACUGUCUGUUAGGAGUGUUUUGACAUUUUCCAGGUAUAGGUUUUCAUACCUCAUUAAAUUUAUUCAUAAAUACUUAUAUUUAUUCAUAAAUACAUAUAUUUUGAUGCUAUUUAAAUGGUGUUUUCUCUACCAUUAUGUCCCCUGUUUGUUUAUAUGAAGGCUAUUGAUUUUUAUGUUAAUUUUAUAUCCAUCUUCUUCAGUAAAUUAUUUUAUUGUUUGAGUUAGUUUUAUUAUUGAUUCUCUGGGAUUUUCCACAUAUAUUAUUAUAUCAUCUGCAAAUAUAGUUUUAACACUCAUUUAGUCACUCUUAUGCCUUUCACUGAUUUCUCUUAUCUAAUUGCACUGGCUAAUAUCUCUAACAGCAGCAGAGAUAAUAGAUAUUUAUGUCUUGCUUCUGAUGUUAGUAGAAACAUCCCUAAUGCUUUUCCAUUAAAUAAGAUAAUGACUUUAGGACUAUGAACCCCCAAAAUUUGAGACAAGUCUCAGUUAAUUUAGAAAGUUCAUUUUGCCAAGAUUGAGGAUGUGCACCUGUGACACAGCCUCAGGAAGUCCUGAUGACAUGUACGCGAGGGGGUUGGGGCACAGCUUGGUUUUCUACAUUUUAGGGAGACAUGUGACAUCAAUCAACCAAUAUAUGUAAGAAGUACAUUGGUUCUGUCCAGUGAAGGGAUGGCCUGCCCCUCCACACCUGUGGGUGUUCCUCAUCAGGUAGGAUGAGAGACUGAGAAAAGAAAGAGACACAGAGACAAAGAAUAGAGAAAGAAAAGUGGGCCUAGGGGACUGGCGCUCAGCUUACAGAGGCACUCAGCUUACAGUUUACGGAGGACGACGACCGGCAGGCACUGGUCUCUGAGUUCCCUCAGUAUUUAUUGAUCAUUAUCUCUACCAUCUCGGAGAGGAGGAUGUGGCAGGACAAUAGGGCAAUAGUGGGGAGAGGGUCAGCAGGAAACAUGUGAACAAAGAUCUCUGUGUCAUAAAUAAGUUUAAGGAAAGGUGCUUUGCCUUGAUGUGCAUGUAUACAAACACCUUGGUGCAUUAAAGAGCAAUAUUGCUGCUAGCACGGCUCACCUCCAGCCCUAAGGCAGUUUUCUCCUAUCUCAGUAAACAGAACAUACAAUCGGGUUUUACACCGAGACAUCAUUGCCCAGGGACGAGCAGGAGACAGAUGCCUUCCUCUUAUCUCAACUGCAAAGAGGCCUUCCUCUUUCACUAAUCCUCCUCAGCACAGACCCUUUACGGGUGUCGGGCUGGGGGACGGUCAGGUCUUUCCCUUCCCAGGCCUUUCCCUUCCCACGAGGCCAUAUCUCAGGCUAUCACAUGGGGAGAAACCUUGGACAAUACCUGGCUUUCCUAGGCAGAGGUCCCUGCAGCCUUCUGCAGUGUAUUGUGUCCCUGGGUACUUGAGAUUAGAGAAUAGUGAUGACUUUUAACAAGCAUACUGCCCUCAACACUUUUUUAACAAAGCACAUCCUGCAUAGCCCUAAAUCCAUUAAACCUGGAGUCAACACAGCACAUGUCUCUGCGAGCACAGGGUUGGGGCCAGGGUUACAGAUUAACAGCAUCUCAAGGCAGAAGAAUUUUUCUUAGUACAGAACAAAAUGGAGUCUCUUAUGUCUACUUCUUCCUACAUAGACACAGUAACAGUCUGAUCUCUCUUUCUUUUCCCCACACAGUGUUCAUUGUAGGCCUGAGAGAGAGAGAGAGAGAGAGAAAAGGAUAAUUAAAGACAGUCUCAUGAGAUCUGCUGGAGGUUCAGGGAGGUCCCAGACCACCCUGGGCUUUCCCUGUAGGCCAAUCCUUCAUGUUCCAGUUAUUGAAUGCCCAUUCUACUGUAGGAACAGAUCAUAGUUAUUAGAGUUCAGAAAAUAAAUUUUCCCUGUUAUUUAUUCUGGAAUUUGUCUUAUCCUUUUAAUAUUCUACAAGUCUCCCACCAGUCUACUAAAGAAUAUCACUUCCCUAAGGAACAGAAUGGUCUGCUUCUGAUACUAAAAGUAAGAUGUUUGUUUUUGAAGCAACAUAAAUUCAAAUAGGGAUAACAACUCUUUCUUUGUGGAAAAUCAAAGCAUCUUUAUAUUUACUUGAGUAAACAGAAAAAAUAUCUCAAUUGAAAUGAUUUCCCACCUGCCAAACAAAACAGUUUUCUUUUGUAAGUCCUAUUCCAUAUAUGCGGGUGGUCAAAGCACAAGGCUGCACAAAGGGAAUAGUAAUGAAUUCGGCUAGUGCAAGCCACUGUGCCCGCCGACAGCUCACUCGCUCCAUCCUGCAACCUGGACUGACAGGCUCAGCUGCUUACUAAGUGUCAGUUCUCUUCUCAAAGAGCCAUGUUUUUCCUGGGAGUUAAUUUGUGGGUGUUUCAUGUUGGUUAAAUUGGGCCUAAAGUCAAAGCAAAACUUUGGAGAAGCUGUGAUGCAUCCCAGGUUAAACCAGAACUAUUUAUUGCAGCUUCCCUUUUUGGCCACGUAGUUCUUGUCCUACAGAGUGGCAGGGAUUUUCCAGUUCAAGUGUCUGCUUGUAUCUUGGGAGGUGGGUCAUGAGGACCUCUAGCCUUCUUUUUUUCCUGUGGCUCUCUUUGGAGGUCUGGCCAAACUGACCCACCAAUACUCCUCAGGACCAGCCACAGGCAGAACACUGCAGGACAUGAAGUUUGCCUUUUACAGCCCCAUACCUGUACUAUUUUCACCUUUCCCAAUUCCUAGGACUUCCCAGACCUACCCAGGGGCUUCUGGCUAUGGUGCCUGGCUCCUUCGCUAUGACACUAAACCUAGGCCUGCCUUGAUUUAAAAAAAUAUAGCAACAUUCACCACCACAAUUACCAUUUAUUGGCCCUUCAUUAUGUACCUAACAUUAUGUUGCACAUUGUAUUCAUAUUUUUCUCCAUCACUGUGUGAGCUCAACAGCUAUAAGAAGUGGCUAUACAUGCAGUGAAUACCUUUGGUGCCCUCUCUGUCUCCUUGCCUACUCCAGGAGGUCUCGUGCAGGCCAGAUGGCGUGACAGCUGUGUCCCUUUGCCUGAGAGGGUGCCCUCGCCUCCUGAGAAGAUGGUAAAUUGAGGGCUAAGCUAGAGGUGCUCAGUCCAGGAGUGAUCCUCAACCUUUGAGGGGUAGGGAUUUCUGGGAAAAUUUCUUGACUUCCUAUUCCCCAUGGUGGGACAAUUCUGGGGUAGGUUCCCAGGUCUCCCAGAGGGUCUUCAAAAAGAUUGACAGCAGUGGCCUAGUGGUAACCUCAUGGCAGCCACUUUAUUGGUUUGUCUCCUGUCCCUCCUGUCUCACUUACCAUUCCCUCUCAUUGCUCUCUGGGAUUUCUGCCCAAGUGUGUUCUCAAUCCUUGUGUCAUGAUUUGUCCCUUGAAGGAAUCUCCACCAAGAUACUGCACAAUUGUCCUCCCAGAACAGGAGAGAAAGAGAGCUUUGGGAGGCUGACAUGCAUGAGGACGUGUAGCUGGUGAGUGGCCAGCAGGACUUGAAUCAGCACCAUCACUUAUGUUUCCAUCAGAAUCAGUGUGGGCAUAUUUUUCUAGUUAGUUAAUCAAAUUAAUUAAUGUGUAGCUUUUUUGAAAAUGAUUUAAGCCUUUAGAACAUAUCCUAAUACUUCCUUCUUCCAUCAAAUCUAUUUGUCCUGUGUCACAUUCCAUUGAGACUCAGGAUUUAACCAGCAAUAUAAUUAGAUACAAAUAUAACAAAUUAAUCAAUAUUGCAAUGCUAUAGCUGAAAGUGACGAAAGGUAGUAUGCCUCUAGCGCUAUUCAUACUUUACACUAGACUUUUCCAAUUGCAAUGCCUUAAUUUAAAGGAAGAACUCUGUUAGUAGAAUUUCAGGCAUCUAAGUAGUCAAGGAAACCCCCUCUCCAUGCUGUUCAAUGGACUUUUCCUGAGCCCCUUACACAUCUUUCCAUUUGCUAACUCUACCUGCUGAUACUGAUGCUUUAUCUAAUCAUCAAUGGGAUUCCUCUUGAAAUGGAAGGCAAAGUUCAACCCUGAAUGUGUGCUGGCCUGGCUCCUUCGCAGUGACAAAAACAUGCAACUGUCUCUUCUUUACCUUUCUGGCUUAUCAGGGAACAUGGAGGAACUGUUUACGUGCCUUUGUUUCCCAGCCUGUGAAAGGAAGAUAACACUUGCUCCAACAUGCUUUUCAGCGAGUGAUGUGAAGAUAAAUGUGAUAACGUCUACAAAGUCCUCCAAAUUCUCGGGAUGAAAUGUGCUAUGUAAAUGGAACACAGCCCUGUUAUGAUUGAAGUUUAAUGCAGCCGUUCUCAGGCCUAUACAGGGAAUGCAGUCUGGCUGGAAGCACUUUCCCUGAAUGUCACGUGUGAGUGCAGUAAAGGUGUUGGCUGAAGGGGGAUGGAAACAAACGUUAAUUACACCUUCAAGAUUUCUCCAGUCAGAGUUUGGUCCUUCCUCUGUGUGUUUCUCAUCAUGAACCAAGAUGAGGCAGAACGACAGCACAGGGGUGGUUUCCAUUUCAAGCUAGCUGUUUUCUGCAUCCUCCCACCUCCCUCAAGAGUUGCAUGCUUGAUUGAAUUAACUAAUACCAGUUGUGCUUUACAUAUUUGAGUUAAAAUAUAUGUGUUACAUGUCAACAUUGUGCUAAAAUGUAUUAUUGAAAUUUUAUUAACAAGCAUUGCUUUAAUUUAGUACUGAAGAAAGUCUAUGUUUAUUGGACAGCAAUUUUAUACCUGUGUAUGAAUACCUGAGUAUGUAGAAGAAUCAGAUAUGUGAUUAGCUAAACUUCCAAAGUUGAUAGAAACUAGGUGAUUAUUUAAAUUGCACAAAACCCUGUAUUUUACUUAAAUUUCUAUAAAAGUAAUAAUGUCUUACAUUUGCUUAGUGAGAAAUGCUUUGCAGAUGCCUUUGACAUAUAUUAUCUCCCUUGUUCCUCUCAAAAUUCUUAUGAACUAAGGAGAGAGUGACUAUUGUCUGUAUGUUUUAUGGAUAAGAAAAAGAGAAAGCAUCCUUAGCACAUUUGAAAUGUAUUACCUUUACAAAAAGGUAACUCAUGAUUACCUCUUUAGAAAGCACAAUUCCAUGUGGAAAGUAUGCCUACCUCUGUUUACUCUAUGCAUGUAUAGUUAGUGUCCUGGUUAUCUCUUGCUAUGUAACAGAUUAUCCUAAAACUUACUGGCUUAAAACAUC